This 253-nucleotide ribosomal RNA is filed under the name uncultured bacterium. Its description in RNAcentral is "partial 16S ribosomal RNA". It matches the Rfam family "Bacterial small subunit ribosomal RNA", at positions 524 to 776 of the family's 1533-position model. The record is from RNAcentral.
UACGUAGGGUGCAAGCGUUAUCCGGAAUUAUUGGGCGUAAAGAGCUCGUAGGCGGCUUGUCGCGUCUGCUGUGAAAACUCGGGGCUUAACUCCGGGCCUGCAGUGGGUACGGGCAGACUAGAGUGCGGUAGGGGAGACUGGAAUUCCUGGUGUAGCGGUGAAAUGCGCUGAUAUCAGGAGGAACACCGGUGGCGAAGGCGGGUCGCUGGGCCGUAACUGACGCUGAGGAGCGAAAGCGUGGGGAGCGAACAGG